This 528-nucleotide ribosomal RNA is filed under the name uncultured bacterium. RNAcentral describes it as "bacterial SSU rRNA". It matches the Rfam family "Bacterial small subunit ribosomal RNA", at positions 355 to 895 of the family's 1533-position model. The record is from RNAcentral.
UUAGGAAUUUUGGGCAAUGGGCGCAAGCCUGACCCAGCAACGCCGCGUGGGUGACGAAGGCCUUCGGGUUGUAAAGCCCUUUUCUCGGGGAAGAGUAGUGACGGUACCCGUAGGAAGAAGCACCGGCUAACUACGUGCCGAGCAGCCGCGGUAAUACGUAGGGUGCAAGCGUUGCCCGGAUUUAUUGGGCGUAAAGGGCGCGUAGGCGGCUACGCACGUCCGUUGUGAAAUCGCCCGGCUCAACUGGGCGGGGUCGGCGGAUACGGCGUAGCUGGAGCAAGCUAGGGGGCAAUGGAAUUCCCGGUGUAGUGGUGGAAUGCGUUAGAUAUCGGGAGGAACACCAGUGGCGAAGGCGGUUGCCUGGGGCUUUGCUGACGCUGAUGCGCGAAAGCGUGGGGAGCGAUCCGGAUUAGAUACCCGGGUAGUCCACGCCGUAAACGAUGCGGACUAGGUGUCAGGGGGUAUCGACCCCCUGGCGCCGCAGCUAACGCACUAAGUCCGCCGCCUGGGGACUACGGCCGCAAGGCU